UGGGGAAUUUUGGACAAUGGGCGAAAGCCUGAUCCAGCAAUGCCGCGUGUGUGAAGAAGGCCUUCGGGUUGUAAAGCGCUUUUGUCCGGAAAGAAAUCCUUGGCUCUAAUACAGUCGGGGAUGACGGUACCGGAAGAAUAAGCACCGGCUAACUACGUGCCAGCAGCCGCGGUAAUACGUAGGGUGCAAGCGUUAAUCGGAAUUACUGGGCGUAAAGCGUGCGCAGGCGGUUUGCUAAGACCGAUGUGAAAUCCCCGGGCUCAACCUGGGAACUGCAUUGGUGACUGGCAGGCUAGAGUAUGGCAGAGGGGGGUAGAAUUCCACGUGUAGCAGUGAAAUGCGUAGAGAUGUGGAGGAAUACCGAUGGCGAAGGCAGCCCCCUGGGCCAAUACUGACGCUCAUGCACGAAAGCGUGGGGAGCAAACAGGAUUAGAUACCCUGGUAGUCCACGCCCUAAAACGAUGUCAACUAGUUGUUGGGGAUUCAUUUCCUUAGUAACGUAGCUAACGCGUGAAGUUGACCGCCUGGGGAGUACGGUCGCAAGAUUAAAACUCAAAGGAAUUGACGGGGUCAUAGCUGUUUCCU
Molecule: ribosomal RNA, 585 nt
Filed under: uncultured bacterium
Lineage: Bacteria
Description: partial 16S ribosomal RNA
Rfam family: Bacterial small subunit ribosomal RNA
Source: RNAcentral